UUUUCGGCAAUGGGGGAAACCCUGACCGAGCAAUGCCGCGUGAAUGAUGAAAUUCUUCGGAAUGUAAAAUUCUGUUGUGAGGGAAGAAAGGUAGUAUCAGGAAAUGGGUAUUACUUGACGGUACCUUACUAGAAAGCCCCGGCUAACUAUGUGCCAGCAGCCGCGGUAAUACAUAGGGGGCGAGCGUUAUCCGGAAUUAUUGGGCGUAAAGCGUGCGUAGGCGGUCGUUUAAGUCUGUCGUGAAAGCCCACAGCUUAACUGUGGAGGGUCGAUGGAAACUGGAUGGCUUGAAUCUAGAAGAGGUAAGUGGAAUUCCAUGUGUAGCGGUAAAAUGCUUAGAUAUAUGGAGGAACACCAGUGGCGAAGGCGGCUUACUGGUCUAGCAUUGACGCUGAGGCACGAAAGCGUAGGUAGCAAACAGGAUUAGAUACCCUGGUAGUCUACGCUGUAAACGAUGAGCACUAAGUGUCGGACGUAAGUUCGGUGCUGUAGUUAACGCAUUAAGUGCUCCGCCUGGGGAGUACGUUCGCAAGAAUGAAACUCAAAGGAAUUGACGGGGACCCGCACAAGCGGUGGAGCAUGUGGUUUAAUUCGAAGCAACGCGAAAAACCUUACCAGGCCUUGACAUCCCUAUGACCGCUCUAGAGAUAGAGUUUCCUCUUCGGAGGUAUAGGUGACAGGUGGUGCAUGGUUGUCGUCAGCUCGUGUCGUGAGAUGUUGGGUUAAGUCCCGCAACGAGCGCAACCCUUAUCAUUAGUUGCUAACAUUAAGUUGAGCACUCUAAUGAGACUGCCAGCGACAAGUUGGAGGAAGGUGGGGAUGACGUCAAAUCAUCAUGCCCC
RNAcentral lists this ribosomal RNA (842 nucleotides) under human gut metagenome. RNAcentral describes it as "bacterial SSU rRNA". It matches the Rfam family "Bacterial small subunit ribosomal RNA", at positions 362 to 1201 of the family's 1533-position model. The record is from RNAcentral.